Peromyscus eremicus (cactus mouse) is the source of this 763-nucleotide long non-coding RNA. RefSeq lists it as uncharacterized. The transcript is spliced from 4 exons. The record is from RefSeq and is a predicted model, not a curated record. Lineage: Eukaryota; Metazoa; Chordata; Mammalia; Rodentia; Cricetidae.
GGCAGAGACGGCUCUGAUCUGAGCUAAACUGUGUUUCUCUCACUGGCCUUAUCUGAGCCAUCCUUCCCUAAUUCUGGGCUCCAGGAUCAGGAAUUGAAAACUGGUUCACUCAAAGGGAGUGUCUUUAAGCUGGAAGCUGAUAUGCCACAGAGUCAGUGUUUGUGGAGAGAAGUCGUAUAAUCAGAUGUUUGAGCUCAAGGAGGAGGAACUGGUUCCUCUGAGAAGACCAAAGACAAUGAAUUAAAACUAUCCUUUGCAAAAAUACUGGCUUACUCAGCUAGGCUGCAAAAGCUACAUCCAUUAUGAAGGGUACUACAUGGCUUGGAGAUGACUCUGUCUACUGUGGCGGGAAUCCUUCAUGCUGCAGGUCAAGCCCACACACUGCAAACCAGCCAUAAUAUAGCUCAGGCCCACAGGCUGUGGCUGGCCUGAGAGACACAGGGUACCAUGACUGAAUCUUGAUGGCUUUAUAAAAAGAAGAACCAACAACUAGCCACAAACAGAGAUAUAUGUAUCCCUCGUCUCCUGUCAUAAAUUGUUCUCUGCCAUCUUAGAGUGCUGCUAAUAAGAAGAUCUCCAUCAAACCGAGCUGCUGCCAACACGAGUCAUUCAUUGUGCCUCCAAACUGUGAUCUUAGCUGCACUCCUCUUGCCUUCUGAAGUUAGCAUACCUCAGACUGAUCACUGUAGUAAGAGAGAUAACAGGACUGAAUGUCCACUUCCUACAAGUCUUUUGUUGAAGCUUUGAAGAUACUUAACCUGUA